Molecule: long non-coding RNA, 184 nt
Organism: Zingiber officinale
Lineage: Eukaryota; Viridiplantae; Streptophyta; Magnoliopsida; Zingiberales; Zingiberaceae
Exons: 2
Source: RefSeq, a predicted model, not a curated record
GACAUACAUGUUUAAAUAUGAUACUGUACAUGGGCAAUGGAAGCAUCACGAGAUAAAAGUGAAGGAUUCCAAGACCCUUCUUUUGGGAGAGAAAGAGGUUACUGUCUGUGGCAUCAGGAAUCCUGAGGAGAUUCCUUGGGGUGAGACUAGAGCUGACUUCGUUGUGGAGUCUACUGGUGUCUUU